ACCAUGCAAGUCGAGCGAUGAAACUACUUCGGUAGUGAAUUAGCGGCGAACGGGUGAGGAACACGUGAGGAAUCUGCCUUCAACACUGGGAUAACUCCGGGAAACCGGGGCUAAUACCGGAUACGAGCCUUGAUCGCAUGAUCGAGGCUGGAAAGUUUUUCGGUUGAAGAUGACCUCGCGGCCUAUCAGCUUGUUGGUGAGGUAAUGGCUCACCAAGGCGACGACGGGUAGCCGGCCUGAGAGGGCGACCGGCCACACUGGGACUGAGACACGGCCCAGACUCCUACGGGAGGCAGCAGUGGGGAAUAUUGGGCAAUGGAGGAAACUCUGACCCAGCGACGCCGCGUGCGGGAUGGAGGCCUUCGGGUUGUAAACCGCUUUCAGUAGGGAAGAAGCGAAAGUGACGGUACCUACAGAAGAAGCACCGGCUAACUAUGUGCCAGCAGCCGCGGUAAUACAUAGGGUGCAAGCGUUGUCCGGAAUUAUUGGGCGUAAAGAGCUCGUAGGUGGUUUGAUACGUCGGGUGUGAAAUUCAGGGGCUCAACCCCUGACCUGCAUUCGAUACGGUCAAGCUAGAGUUUGGUAGGGGAGACUGGAAUUCCUGGUGUAGCGGUGGAAUGCGCAGAUAUCAGGAGGAACACCGAUGGCGAAGGCAGGUCUCUGGGCCAAUACUGACACUGAGGAGCGAAAGCGUGGGGAGCGAACAGGAUUAGAUACCCUGGUAGUCCACGCCGUAAACGGUGGGCGCUAGUUGUGCGAACCUUCCACGGUUUGUGCGACGCAGCUAACGCAUUAAGCGCCCCGCCUGGGGAGUACGAUCGCAAGAUUAAAACUCAAAGGAAUUGACGG
Molecule: ribosomal RNA, 849 nt
Filed under: uncultured bacterium
Lineage: Bacteria
Description: bacterial SSU rRNA
Rfam family: Bacterial small subunit ribosomal RNA
Source: RNAcentral